RNAcentral lists this ribosomal RNA (609 nucleotides) under Tremellodendron sp. FO 41237. Its description in RNAcentral is "eukaryotic LSU rRNA". It matches the Rfam family "Eukaryotic large subunit ribosomal RNA", at positions 65 to 659 of the family's 3401-position model. Lineage: Eukaryota; Fungi; Basidiomycota; Agaricomycetes; Sebacinales; Sebacinaceae. The record is from RNAcentral.
CUAACAAGGAUUCCCCUAGUAACGGCKAGUGAAGAGGGAAGAGCUCAAAUUUUGAAUCUGGCACCUUUGGUGUCCGAAUUGUAAUCUAGAGAAGUGUUUUCUGUGAUGGACCAUGCAUAAGUCUCCUGGGAUGGAGCGUCAUAGAGGGUGAGAAUCCCGUAUAUGGCAUGGACUCCCGUUGCUCUGUGAUACACUCUCGACGAGUCGAGUUGUUUGGGAAUGCAGCUCCAAAUGGGUGGUAAAUGCCAUCUAAAGCUAAAUAUUGGCGAGAGACCGAUAGCGAACAAGUACCGUGAGGGAAAGAUGAAAAGCACUUUGGAAAGAGAGUGAAACAGUACGUGAAAUUGUUGAAAGGGAAACGCUUGAAGUCAGUCACACCGUUCGGGAUUCAGCCUUGCUUCUGCUCGGYUUACUUCCUGUUGGGUGGGUCAACAUCAGUUUUGGUCAGAGGAGAAAUGCUUGGGGAAUGUGGCAGCAUUCGUGCUGUGUUAUAGCCCCUUGUUGUAUACUUUGACUGGGACUGAGGACCGCAGCACGCCUUUGGCCGGGGUUCGCCCACGUACGUGCUUAGGAUGUUGGCAUAAUGGUUUUAAGCGACCCGUCUUGAAA